ACGAACGCUGGCGGCAUGCCUAACACAUGCAAGUCGAGCGCCUGUAGCAAUACAGGAGCGGCGCACGGGCGAGUAACGCGUGGGAACCUACCCUUAGGUUCGGAACAACCGCGGGAAACUGCGGCUGAUACCGGAUAAUGUCUUCGGACCAAAGAUUUAUCGCCUUUGGAGGGGCCCGCGUCGGAUUAGGUAGUUGGUGAGGUAACGGCUCACCAAGCCUACGAUCCGUAGCUGGUCUGAGAGGAUGACCAGCCACACUGGGACUGAGACACGGCCCAGACUCCUACGGGAGGCAGCAGUGGGGAGUAUUGGACAAUGGGGGCAACCCUGAUCCAGCCAUGCCGCGUGAGUGAUGAAGGCCUUAGGGUUGUAAAGCUCUUUUAACGGGGAAGAUAAUGACGGUACCCGUAGAAUAAGCCCCGGCUAACUUCGU
RNAcentral lists this ribosomal RNA (433 nucleotides) under uncultured bacterium. RNAcentral describes it as "bacterial SSU rRNA". It matches the Rfam family "Bacterial small subunit ribosomal RNA", at positions 29 to 506 of the family's 1533-position model. The record is from RNAcentral.